Alligator mississippiensis (American alligator) is the source of this 1063-nucleotide long non-coding RNA. RefSeq lists it as uncharacterized. The record is from RefSeq and is a predicted model, not a curated record. NCBI's taxonomy places the organism in Eukaryota, Metazoa, Chordata, Crocodylia, Alligatoridae. The transcript is spliced from 3 exons.
UAGAACAGCCAAGCAGCCUUUCUCAAGGAGAGCUGAAGGUUUGCUGAAGUGGAACUUAUACCCUAAUUUUUUUCCCAGGUUAUUUCACAAUCCAAGAAGCACAAACUCCUGACUUGAAUGAAGGCAACCCAGAUCAUCAAAAAGUCCCAUGGAAAUAUGGAGAGAAUAGUCCCUGCUCAGAAGUCCAGCAAGAACUUAGAUCAGAUUUCCCAAGAAUCUGGGGACUUACCCCAGCGCCACAAUACAUAAAGUCAGUGCCAGUGCCAGGAAAAGAAACUUGAAGUCCUGGCUUCAGCUCUAACUACUCCCAACACAUUUCAUCUUCUGAAAAAGACUAAUAGGAAGAGAAGUGGGAGGAACAUAAAUGUUUAGAUGCUUAAGAAAUCUACGUAGUUCAAGUACACCAUUUUUUAUUAAAACAGAAUGUGCUGUGCUGAUUAGAGGACCUGAAGUCUUUACAUCAUAAUGAAAAUACCAAGAAAUUUAAGAUCAGCAAAAAUGUCAAAACAUUUAAUUUCCAAAGAUGACAAAUCCAAUAUCUUGUUUCAAUCAAAGUAAUUUAACUACCUUAAUGAAACUAUGCAAGAAAAUGGAACCAUUAAAUGAUUAAAGGGAAACUAUACAGACAUUAAAUAAUAGAAUUAAACAAAUUAAACCACAGUUAAAUGAAACUAGAAUAAGAACAAAUUAAAAGUAAACUGCCACUUUUGCAUAUGCACUUUGGCAUAAACGACAUACUUCAUACACGAGAUAACAGCUGCACUUUUCCUUAUACGCUACUUGAGUGUAUCAUUUUAGAAUUUUACUGAAUAUUUUCAUCACUGUUUAAAACAGACAAAAGUUAGGGUAAACUUAUAAGGGAAACAGCAUAACAUCCACAGCGAUUUCCUUUUGGGUAUAACCCUAUGCUUCCGCUCUGUUUCCCCAAAUCAUGUUAAAUUAUUAAAAAUGUUAUACUGUCUUUUCCAUUACAUGUGUGAAACAUGAGGGUCAUGAUUUCCUCCAGUUGUGUUCAGAGACAGUGGUGAGUGACAGCCACAAGAAACAGGUUAUCUCCCUGGGA